This is a long non-coding RNA of Phyllostomus hastatus (greater spear-nosed bat), 1591 nucleotides long. RefSeq lists it as uncharacterized. NCBI's taxonomy places the organism in Eukaryota, Metazoa, Chordata, Mammalia, Chiroptera, Phyllostomidae. The record is from RefSeq and is a predicted model, not a curated record. The transcript is spliced from 4 exons.
UCCAAAAGACAAUGAUUUCAAUGACAAAGGACUAUGUAAACCAGACAAAUAAUUCAUCUCUUUCUUUUUUUAGUGUGAAGCACAUUCAUGAAGAGACCACUGCUUGGACCUGCAGCAAGAAUGGGUGCAGAAGGCUGUACAUGUAGUUUGGAGGAGGCUCAGUUGCUCAUCUACAAAAUGGAGAUACGAUGUCAUGCCCUCCACAGGAUCGCUGUGAACAUUAAACAGUACCCUGCUGUAGACGGCUUGCGACAGUGGCUGGCACAAAGAAAUGAGUCCUUAUGUGUAACUGUUCUGUGAUACUGAUGUCCAUCCCCUUGCUGGUUGGAAAUGGUGACAAUGGAACAACUAAAGAAGUCCGCAGGUGAGGACAACAGACCUGCCCUUUCAGCCUGGCCUCUCCGUGACUUGACUGAGCAGAGCCUGACUAAUGACCUGGGGCUGUUAAGUGACAAAGAAAUAAACUUCUGUACUGAUGACACGAGUUCACCUAUCAAACCCUUCAAAAAUUUUUGUCUACGUGAGCUGAGUGUAUACACCAAAUAAGUGUGACCUUUGACACAACCAAAGGAAAUUUCCUGAGUGAUGCUCUUCAGUUGUGUUGCUGGAUGGAUCUGUAUCCACUUUCAGCUCCCUUCAGGAUCUGAGGUGGGGCUACCACUGAAGGCUGUGGAACAUAGGGGACCUUCUUCAUACAUGAUUGUAAGAGAAAGAAGUCAUCUCUGUGAGUUCAUACCAGCCUGGCUCCUUCUUGACUGUAAGCCCAACCUCAGAAUGAACCAGAAAUGGGCACAAUUUUUCUAUUUUUGGUCUGGACCUCAUUUAUUUACUUCCUCAGCUUUGCUUUGGAAAAACUCCUUAAGAAAACCACACCAAUGUAUACUCUCUUACUGUGCCUGGGAACACACACUGCUUGACAUCACAUGGUAGUUUGACCACACAAAGGGCUAGGAGACUGCAGGAUCCUUUCAUGUAUACUUUUUGAUAAUAAAAUCUCUCCUUUUGUGAGCUAUCACCAGGCGCCAGGCUCUUUGCUGAACAAUUUGCAUGUUAUCUAAAUAAAUUCCUCAUAGCUCUAGGAAAUAGGUAUUGUUAUUAUUUCUAAUUCACUGAGAAAGAGAAAGUCUCAAAAAGAUUAAGAAAUCAUUUACCUGGAAUUGGACACCGGGUUAUCUGUUUCCGGGUCCCUUGCUCUUUUUCCCAGGUGCCUUUUGUAGGCUUAGCAUAAACCAGGUGUUUUUUGUUCACGUAUGUUUGCUUCUUUCCAAAGUGUGUGUGUGUGUGUGUGUGUGUGUGUGUGUGUGUGAACAUAAAUGUAGUGCUUAUUAAAUGUCAGAUUGUUCUAGACCCGUUGACAUGAAUUACUUCAUUUAACCCAUACAACAACCCUAUGAAGAAAUUAUCAUAAUUAUCCCAUCUUGAUUUGAAAAGAGAAGCUCUGUAAAAUGUUACCUGUAUUGUACCACUGCAAAUUAAUAUCUGUCUAGCACAUUGCAAUAAAUUAAAUCCAAGGACUUCUAAAGAACUCUUAAAUAAUAUUUUUAAAAUCAUCGCAAACAGAAUCAGUCUUAUGCUAAAAUUUGUAUUUGAU